Molecule: long non-coding RNA, 566 nt
Organism: Achroia grisella
Lineage: Eukaryota; Metazoa; Arthropoda; Insecta; Lepidoptera; Pyralidae
Exons: 5
Source: RefSeq, a predicted model, not a curated record
AAUUUUUAUAUUAUAUACCUACUUGUACACAUAAUAAUAUAAAGAUAAUAGAAUAUAAUACUAGAUAACACGAUGGUGAAGAUUAACGAGAGCUGUUCACAUAUUGGAAGUAGACACAAGUAUAUUUAGUAUUUUAGUAUUACUUGAAGAUUAUAAGAUGCGAAAGAGCUGGAGUCAAUCUAUUAUGGUGGAUGCACUAGGAAUCAACCAGGAUGGUUUUCAUGGAGACCCUGAGGAGGGUGGAGGCAGACCUUUUAUUGCUAGUAUUGCUAGCAAUAGGACUAUUUCGUGCCUUACUGGAAAAUUAGAGCAAAUAUGAACUACUCAUGCCAGUAUAAACUUCGUAAUAACGGAUGCAAUGAUAAAGAUUUUUUUCAUUAAAAUCUACAAAAUAUUCUUUUGGAUUAGUUUACGUUGGAAUUUGCUAUGUUUCGUGAAUAGUAUAACAUACCUAAUAUUUCCGGCCAGGAAAUAACUUUCAGAGCCCACACGCCGUCCUUCAUGAGAUCCAGCUUGCCAAGAGGGAGGUCCUCGGAGUACUGGUAUUCGUCGUUAUUAUAUGCUGG